GAUGAACGCUAGCGAUAGGCUUAACACAUGCAAGUCGAGGGGCAGCAUGGUCUUAGCUUGCUCAGACUGAUGGCGACCGGCGCACGGGUGCGUAACGCGUAUGCAACUUGCCUCACAGAGGGGGAUAACCCGUCGAAAGACGGACUAAUACCGCGUACACUUGGGAUAGGGCAUCCUGACCCAAGGAAAUGAAAUUCGCUGUGAGAUAGGCAUGCGUCCCAUUAGCUAGUUGGUGAGGUAACGGCUCACCAAGGCGACGAUGGGUAGGGGAACUGAGAGGUUGAACCCCCACACUGGUACUGAGACACGGACCAGACUCCUACGGGAGGCAGCAGUGAGGGAUAUUGGUCAAUGGACGAGAGCCUGAACCAGCCAAGUCGCGUGAAGGAUGACUGUCUUAUGGAUUGUAAACUUCUUUUAUACGGGAAUAACAAGAGCCACGUGUGGCUCCCUGCAUGUACCGGAUGAAUAAGCAUCGGCUAACUCCGUG
RNAcentral lists this ribosomal RNA (490 nucleotides) under uncultured bacterium. Its description in RNAcentral is "partial 16S ribosomal RNA". It matches the Rfam family "Bacterial small subunit ribosomal RNA", at positions 28 to 507 of the family's 1533-position model. The record is from RNAcentral.